GAUGAACGCUGGCGGCGUGCCUAAUACAUGCAAGUCGAGCGAACGGACGAGAGGCUUGCUUCUCUGAUGUUAGCGGCGGACGGGUGAGUAACACGUGGAUAACCUACCUAUAAGACUGGGAUAACUUCGGGAAACCGUAGCUAAUACCGGAUAAUAUUUUGAACCGCAUGGUUCAAAAGUGAAAGACGGUCUUGCUGUCACUUAUAGAUGGAUCCGCGCUGCAUUAGCUAGUUGGUAAGGUAACGGCUUACCAAGGCAACGAUGCAUAGCCGACCUGAGAGGGUGAUCGGCCACACUGGAACUGAGACACGGUCCAGACUCCUACGGGAGGCAGCAGUAGGGAAUCUUCCGCAAUGGGCGAAAGCCUGACGGAGCAACGCCGCGUGAGUGAUGAAGGUCUUCGGAUCGUAAAACUCUGUUAUUAGGGAAGAACAUAUGUGUAAGUAACUGUGCACAUCUUGACGGUACCUAAUCAGAAAGCCACAGCUAACUACGUG
This 497-nucleotide ribosomal RNA is filed under the name uncultured bacterium. Its description in RNAcentral is "partial 16S ribosomal RNA". It matches the Rfam family "Bacterial small subunit ribosomal RNA", at positions 28 to 507 of the family's 1533-position model. The record is from RNAcentral.